AUUGAACGCUGGCGGCAGGCCUAACACAUGCAAGUCGAGCGAGCGGCGGACGGGUGAGUAAUGUCUGGAAAACUGCCUGAUGGAGGGGGAUAACUACUGGAAACGGUAGCUAAUACCGCAUACGAUCAGAUGGGCCCAGAUGGGAUUAGCUAGUAGGUGGGGGAAAGGCUCACCUAGGCGACGAUCCCUAGCUGGUCUGAGAGGCUGACCAGCCACACUGGGACUGAGACACGGCCCAGACUCCUACGGGAGGCAGCAGGGGGGAAUAUUGCACAAUGGGCGAAAGCCUGAUGCAGCCAUGCCGCGUGAGUGAAGAAGGCUUUAGGGUUGUAAAGCACUUUCAGCGGGGAGGCGUUACUCGCAGAAGAAGCACCGGCUAACUCCGUGCCAGCAGCCGCGGUAAUAC
RNAcentral lists this ribosomal RNA (406 nucleotides) under uncultured bacterium. RNAcentral describes it as "partial 16S ribosomal RNA". It matches the Rfam family "Bacterial small subunit ribosomal RNA", at positions 29 to 526 of the family's 1533-position model. The record is from RNAcentral.